RNAcentral lists this ribosomal RNA (429 nucleotides) under Chloroflexota bacterium. RNAcentral's name for it is "Chloroflexi bacterium partial 16S ribosomal RNA". It matches the Rfam family "Bacterial small subunit ribosomal RNA", at positions 355 to 776 of the family's 1533-position model. Lineage: Bacteria; Bacillati; Chloroflexota. The record is from RNAcentral.
UGGGGAAUAUUGCACAAUGGGCGCAAGCCUGAUGCAGCCAUGCCGCGUGUGUGAAGAAGGCCUUCGGGUUGUAAGGCACUUUCAGCGGGGAGGAAGGCGUUAAGGUUAAUAACCUUGGCGAUUGACGUUACCCGCAGAAGAAGCACCGGCUAACUCCGUGCCAGCAGCCGCGGUAAUACGGAGGGUGCAAGCGUUAAUCGGAAUUACUGGGCGUAAAGCGCACGCAGGCGGUCUGUCAAGUCGGAUGUGAAAUCCCCGGGCUCAACCUGGGAACUGCAUUCGAAACUGGCAGGCUAGAGUCUUGUAGAGGGGGGUAGAAUUCCAGGUGUAGCGGUGAAAUGCGUAGAGAUCUGGAGGAAUACCGGUGGCGAAGGCGGCCCCCUGGACAAAGACUGACGCUCAGGUGCGAAAGCGUGGGGAGCAAACAGG